GACGAACGCUGGCGGCGUGCUUAACACAUGCAAGUCGAACGGAAAGGCCCUGCUUUUGUGGGGUGCUCGAGUGGCGAACGGGUGAGUAACACGUGAGUAACCUGCCCUUGACUUUGGGAUAACUUCAGGAAACUGGGGCUAAUACCGGAUAGGAGCUCCUGCUGCAUGGUGGGGGUUGGAAAGUUUCGGCGGUUGGGGAUGGACUCGCGGCUUAUCAGCUUGUUGGUGGGGUAGUGGCUUACCAAGGCUUUGACGGGUAGCCGGCCUGAGAGGGUGACCGGCCACAUUGGGACUGAGAUACGGCCCAGACUCCUACGGGAGGCAGCAGUGGGGAAUAUUGCACAAUGGGCGGAAGCCUGAUGCAGCAACGCCGCGUGCGGGAUGACGGCCUUCGGGUGGUAAACCGCUUUCGCCUGUGACGAAGCGUGAGUGACGGUAAUGGGGAAAGAAGCACCGGCUACUACGUG
RNAcentral lists this ribosomal RNA (467 nucleotides) under uncultured bacterium. RNAcentral's name for it is "partial 16S ribosomal RNA". It matches the Rfam family "Bacterial small subunit ribosomal RNA", at positions 28 to 507 of the family's 1533-position model. The record is from RNAcentral.